RNAcentral lists this ribosomal RNA (1383 nucleotides) under uncultured bacterium. RNAcentral's name for it is "bacterial SSU rRNA". It matches the Rfam family "Bacterial small subunit ribosomal RNA", at positions 18 to 1396 of the family's 1533-position model. The record is from RNAcentral.
CCUGGCUCCGUAUGAACGCUAGCUACAGGCUUAACACAUGCAAGUCGAGGGGCAGCAUGGUCUUAGCUUGCUAAGACUGAUGGCGACCGGCGCACGGGUGAGUAACACGUAUCCAACCUGCCGUCUACUCUUGGACAGCCUUCUGAAAGGAAGAUUAAUACAAGAUGGCAUCAUGAGUCCGCAUGUUCACAUGAUUAAAGGUAUUCCGGUAGACGAUGGGGAUGCGUUCCAUUAGAUAGUAGGCGGGGUAACGGCCCACCUAGUCUUCGAUGGAUAGGGGUUCUGAGAGGAAGGUCCCCCACAUUGGAACUGAGACACGGUCCAAACUCCUACGGGAGGCAGCAGUGAGGAAUAUUGGUCAAUGGGCGAGAGCCUGAACCAGCCAAGUAGCGUGAAGGAUGACUGCCCUAUGGGUUGUAAACUUCUUUUAUAAAGGAAUAAAGUCGGGUAUGCAUACCCGUUUGCAUGUACUUUAUGAAUAAGGAUCGGCUAACUCCGUGCCAGCAGCCGCGGUAAUACGGAGGAUCCGAGCGUUAUCCGGAUUUAUUGGGUUUAAAGGGAGCGUAGAUGGAUGUUUAAGUCAGUUGUGAAAGUUUGCGGCUCAACCGUAAAAUUGCAGUUGAUACUGGAUAUCUUGAGUGCAGUUGAGGCAGGCGGAAUUCGUGGUGUAGCGGUGAAAUGCUUAGAUAUCACGAAGAACUCCGAUUGCGAAGGCAGCCUGCUAAGCUGCAACUGACAUUGAGGCUCGAAAGUGUGGGUAUCAAACAGGAUUAGAUACCCUGGUAGUCCACACGGUAAACGAUGAAUACUCGCUGUUUGCGAUAUACUGCAAGCGGCCAAGCGAAAGCGUUAAGUAUUCCACCUGGGGAGUACGCCGGCAACGGUGAAACUCAAAGGAAUUGACGGGGGCCCGCACAAGCGGAGGAACAUGUGGUUUAAUUCGAUGAUACGCGAGGAACCUUACCCGGGCUUAAAUUGCAGAUGAAUUACGGUGAAAGCCGUAAGCCGCAAGGCAUCUGUGAAGGUGCUGCAUGGUUGUCGUCAGCUCGUGCCGUGAGGUGUCGGCUUAAGUGCCAUAACGAGCGCAACCCUUGUUGUCAGUUACUAACAGGUUCCGCUGAGGACUCUGACAAGACUGCCAUCGUAAGAUGUGAGGAAGGUGGGGAUGACGUCAAAUCAGCACGGCCCUUACGUCCGGGGCUACACACGUGUUACAAUGGGGGGUACAGAGGGCCGCUACCACGCGAGUGGAUGCCAAUCCCCAAAACCUCUCUCAGUUCGGACUGGAAUCUGCAACCCGACUCCACGAAGCUGGAUUCGCUAGUAAUCGCGCAUCAGCCACGGCGCGGUGAAUACGUUCCCGGGCCUUGUACACACCGCCCG